RNAcentral lists this ribosomal RNA (253 nucleotides) under uncultured bacterium. RNAcentral's name for it is "partial 16S ribosomal RNA". It matches the Rfam family "Bacterial small subunit ribosomal RNA", at positions 524 to 776 of the family's 1533-position model. The record is from RNAcentral.
UACGGAGGGUGCAAGCGUUAUCCGGAUUCACUGGGUUUAAAGGGUGCGUAGGUGGGCAGGUAAGUCAGUGGUGAAAUCUCCGGGCUCAACCCGGAAACUGCCAUUGAUACUAUCAGUCUUGAAUAUCGUGGAGGUAAGCGGAAUAUGUCAUGUAGCGGUGAAAUGCUUAGAUAUGACAUAGAACACCAAUCGCGAAGGCAGCUUACUACGGAUCGAUUGACACUGAGGCACGAAAGCGUGGGGAUCAAACAGG